This 300-nucleotide ribosomal RNA is filed under the name uncultured Microbacteriaceae bacterium. Its description in RNAcentral is "bacterial SSU rRNA". It matches the Rfam family "Bacterial small subunit ribosomal RNA", at positions 114 to 415 of the family's 1533-position model. The record is from RNAcentral. Lineage: Bacteria; Bacillati; Actinomycetota; Actinomycetes; Micrococcales; Microbacteriaceae.
CACGUGAGCAAUCUGCCCCGAACUCUGGGAUAACUGCGGGAAACCGCAGCUAAUACCGGAUACGACCCAAGGAGGCAUCUCCAUUGGGUGGAAAGUUUUUCGGUUCGGGAUGAGCUCGCGGCCUAUCAGCUUGUUGGUGGGGUAAUGGCCUACCAAGGCGACGACGGGUAGCCGGCCUGAGAGGGCGACCGGCCACACUGGGACUGAGACACGGCCCAGACUCCUACGGGAGGCAGCAGUGGGGAAUAUUGCACAAUGGGCGAAAGCCUGAUGCAGCGACGCCGCGUGAGGGACGAAGGC